Long non-coding RNA from Herpailurus yagouaroundi (jaguarundi), 695 nucleotides. RefSeq lists it as uncharacterized. The record is from RefSeq and is a predicted model, not a curated record. The transcript has 4 exons. NCBI's taxonomy places the organism in Eukaryota, Metazoa, Chordata, Mammalia, Carnivora, Felidae.
CAGACCAGAGAAAAGUCUUCUCUGAAAGUAUGAAGUCUCAGUCCCCAUCCUAAAGGUCCAGACCUUCAUAAUAUGAUGCUGCUGUUGUUUGGAUAAAGAACAGAUUGCCACAAAGAGAGGUGCUUUUCUUCCCACUCGAGGUCUGACUCUGAAGAAUGGAAAGUCAGCUACAUCUCCUGCUCUUAAAAGUAAUGGCCUUUUGAAGAAGAGGUCCGGUAGUGCCCUACAGUGCAAUAUCCCCUAUUCACCAGGAGCUGGUGCUUCAGAGUCAGACAUUGCAUAAAACCAUGGAAGCCAAAACACAUCAUUACCUUCCAAUAUGCUCCUUAAGGAUGAUGUGAGUCAGACCAUGGAUGAGCUUAGAAAGAGAUAAGAAUUAGCAAUGAUAUUGGCUUCAGAAAGGAGUUAUUGUAUAGAAAGAAUGCCCAAACGAUGAAGAAAGAACAGAUUUACUCACUCUUAUUAAGGCAAGUAGCAUAUUUACAAUGAAUUAACAGAAUAAAUACAUACUCAUUUAAAUAUUAUGAUCUUCUAUAGAAUUAGAUAAAUGUUGACUUUAAUACAAUCAAAGUUGUAUUUUUGGCGGACUCUUCAGCUGUUGCUAGCUUUGUGGAGCAUAUAUGUUAAAAGACUGAGUGCAAAUAGAAGGCCAAUGACAUAAAGUAUAAAUUAGAAUCCAUACUUCCUUAAUUCAU